RNAcentral lists this ribosomal RNA (253 nucleotides) under uncultured bacterium. RNAcentral describes it as "partial 16S ribosomal RNA". It matches the Rfam family "Bacterial small subunit ribosomal RNA", at positions 524 to 776 of the family's 1533-position model. The record is from RNAcentral.
UACGAAGGGGCCUAGCGUUGUUCGGAAUCAUUGGGCGUAAAGGGGGCGUAGGCGGGCCUUUAAGUCAGGGGUGAAAUCCUGGAGCUCAACUCCAGAACUGCCUUUGAUACUGAAGAUCUUGAGUUCGGGAGAGGUGAGUGGAACUGCGAGUGUAGAGGUGAAAUUCGUAGAUAUUCGCAAGAACACCAGUGGCGAAGGCGGCUCACUGGCCCGAUACUGACGCUGAGGCACGAAAGCGUGGGGAGCAAACAGG